This 55-nucleotide non-coding RNA is filed under the name unclassified sequences. The record is from Rfam.
CGACCGCUCCCGAGCAGGGAGCCAAGGCCAGACGGACAGCCGGGUCGAAUGCCGA